Molecule: ribosomal RNA, 412 nt
Filed under: uncultured Methanomethylovorans sp.
Lineage: Archaea; Methanobacteriati; Methanobacteriota; Methanomicrobia; Methanosarcinales; Methanosarcinaceae
Description: bacterial SSU rRNA
Rfam family: Archaeal small subunit ribosomal RNA
Source: RNAcentral
UACACCGGGGCGACAGCAAUAUGUAGGUCAAGCUAAAGACUUUACCAGAAUCGCUGAGAGGAGGUGCAUGGCCGUCGUCAGUUCGUACUGUGAAGCAUCCUGUUAAGUCAGGCAACGAGCGAGACCCGUGCCCACUGUUGCCAGCAUGUCCUUCGGGAUGAUGGGUACUCUGUGGGACCGCCGAUGCUAAAUCGGAGGAAGGUGCGGGCUACGGUAGGUCAGUAUGCCCCGAAUCUCCCGGGCUACACGCGGGCUACAAUGACUGGGACAAUGGGCUCCUACCCCGAAAGGGGAUGGUAAUCUCAUAAACCCAGCCUUAGUUCGGAUCGAGGGCUGUAACCCGCCCUCGUGAAGCUGGAAUCCGUAGUAAUCGCGUUUCAACAUAGCGCGGUGAAUACGUCCCCUGCUCCUU